ACUUAAGAAAGAAUGGAAAUGUGUAGAUAAAUAUGCGGUCAGAACAUCGAAACUGAAAGGGAAAAUUCCGGGUUGUGAAGUUACUCAACACCCCAGCUCGUCGGGUAGAGUCCACGGGUGCUCCCGGUCAGAAAGGAAGGAGAUUCCAGCCACAAACCGGAGCGAAAUUGCCGUCAGUAGACAGAGAUAUUUAUUUGUUGCGCAACAGGUUCAAAGGUCAGUAAGAACCCUGAGCAUGGGGUGACAUUCACUUUUAAAACUUCCCACGGUUCCCCAUAUGACAUUGCAUACAGUGUCACUAAAACGUCAUUUUUACAUCAAUAAAAUGUCAAAAGGUGAAGGGUUAUAUAUGAUUAACAUAAACAGACAUGUCAGGUCAAGUCCUCAAGUACAAGGUUAGCAUAGACAAGCAUGUUCUAAACACCUCUUAAGUACCCAUCACCAAGAGAACAAUGGCACUUGGGAAACAUCUUUGUCCAUGGGCUAGUCCAGAGAUGUGCAGCCUGAUACUUAGGCAAGCCUGAUAACCUUGCUAAUGUCACCCUGGGGUGUUCUCUCGAGGUUGGGGCAAUGUGUAUGUGAUCUCAGGCUUGAGGGUUAUGGCGGACAGUUCAAGCCUCUCUGCCAACGUGACUUCCAAUCCCUCGGGUAAUGGUAGUGGGUGAAGGGGUGAAAAUGCUUUCUACAUGGAGGAAAACAGCAUUGGAAUUAAAGGAAUUGGCUAAGAAAUGGAUUUCAUAUGAAUUUCCAAAGCUCAGUCCUUUUUUCCAAGCUGCUAAAUAAAAGCUACGGUGGUUUGAUAGCAGCAGAUAUACAUUGUAACAACCUUUGAGUGAUUGAAACCAAUUAAUAACCUUUUAAUACAUUGAACCCAUCGUUAGCUCGGCAGGGGGCUUAAUGAAGCUGAACAGUUUUGCAGAGCUGAGCUGGACAAUUUUGCAAAGGCAUGGUAAAAGAAGCUCCCUGCCGGUUGAGCUUCUUGCCGCUAGGGGCUGCUGUUCGAUACCCACCAUUGGCUAGCUGUCAAAAUUGAGCUCUCCUGAUUGGGCGGCAGCCGGUAGUAUGCAGAUACAAACUUCAUUCAUACAUUCAGUGUCCGUGUUGUAUAGUGGUUUAAAGGGACGGGGAGGAGAAGCUGCGUACAGACUCCUAUUUCCUGCAUGCGCACACAAGGGCACAUGCUGCGUUUACUCUGCUACAAGUCUGGCAAGCUGAGUGGCAGCAGAAGUGCACUGGAUUCAUUCUUUAUCUCACAGGUUAUGGGGGCUAACCUUCCAGGUUAUGGAGGUUUUCAGUCAUGCCUGUGCUGUGUCUGUGUGUGAAGAGCUGCAGAGAAGUCCAGCUAGAGAUCCUGCCAUGCUGUGUGCUUAACGCAAGGCAGUGAAACUCGCUGGUGAAGAAGGACCUUGCUGGAGAUCGCCUCUUCAAGGACUGGCUGGCAGGAGCAUGAGUAGGCUAAGCUCCGGGGGAGAAGAAGGCAGAGGCUCAAGAGACCUUCAAUGUCCCAUUUGAGGGGCUCAAUGGGCACAACUGGGAAGAUUGGUGUGAUGGCCUGGGAAUCCGAUUCAGAGGCUGAACCGGAGGAACCCCAGCCUGCACAGGAGUCUCCGCCUCCAGGGCCGGAUGAACUGGGGCAGGGCCUUGAUUCUGAAGCACCUGCACCUGUGCCGGAUCCUCAGGAGCAGGCACCAGGUGAAUCCUCUCUGGCUCCGGAGGUGAUUGAAGGCACAGUGCCUACAGGUGCGCCUCUCCCAGCCCUGUCAGGGGAAGGUGAGUCUCCCCCUGGGUCCAGUAACUCUCCAGCCUCUCCUGAGCUGCAGAGGCUCAGGGCACAGAGGCGGAGGGAACUGGUUUCUCCCAGGAGGAGUGCUCGCCUUAAGGCCAGGAGAGGCGGGUCUCCUGGGGGCCGGGACCGCCCCUGGCCUCAGAGAAGAUAAAGGCGAGUCAGCCUGGUCCCAGGUGGCGGGAGCAACAUCGUUGAAGAGCUGUUUCGGCCAGCACCCUCUCCUGUUCCUCAAGAAUUCCUGUCCUUGCCCUGCUCCUCGCCCUGGACCCCGCUUCGCCCGUGGAGGACUGUCUGCCGACCCUUGACUCAGGUCCUGGACCUUGCCCCACGGUAACCUCCCCAGCACAAUUGGUCCCGAAGAGUCAGGGCCUGGCUUACAGGCAAGGGGCUCUGGAACUGUACACAGAAUGCCCCAGUCCCUGCACCAGCUGGUGCAGCUGCAGCUGCAAGAGUAACAGCCACUGCUGCAUUGAGGAGAGACCAGAGAAUGAUGGGUCUACUGGUGCUCAGUUUGGACUCUUCCCAAUUGCCCCAUGUUGAUGGGCUAGGGACUUCACAGGCAAUCUGGCAGGCUCUGGAGAGAGUGCACCUACGCACUACAGCAGGGGCCAAGAUUCAUGUGACAAGGACUCUUUUUGAGAUGAAACUACGUCCUAGCGAACCUGUUAGAGACCACAUUACGGGUAUGCUGGCUGCGUUCAGUAAACUGUGGCAGCUCAAUGUGGCCUUCCCUGAAGAAUUAAAAGUUUACAUUCUUCUGAGCUCAUUGGAUAAAAGCUAUGAGAAUUUGUGUUAGACCUUGGAGACCAUGCCAGUGGGGCAGCUGAUGUUAGAGUUUAUCUCGGGUAGGCUGUGUGAUGAGGAACAAUGCUGGCAGAAAGAUGGAGGGCUGUCCUGCAACCAGGUGUGGGGGGGGGGGGUGCAGGGAGAAGUGAAGAAACAGUGAAAGUUUUUUUUCACCUUGUCAUUGUUUUCAUUGUGGCUCUGAUUCCCAUCUGGUUAGACAGUGUCCAGUGGAGCCACAGGAAGCCUCCAAGGCCGUUUCCCAGGGCAACCAGAUUAGAGGUGCUGCCAAGCAUGGGAAGGCUCAGAGAGGCCCCAAGAGAACCGACAGAGACAUAUCGUCACACCACCACCUGGCCGCUUCUAUGGCAACAGUGAAAAGCUGCGAUCAAGGCCAAGUGCUGAGCUGGGUGAUUGACAAUGGUGCCAGUCACUAUCUGAUGCCCUCUGCUGGUCUUCUGAGGAACUGCAGGGCUGUGAUGACAGGAAAAAGUGUGACUCUUGUAGAUGGUUUCAAGCGUAAACUAACUGUUUCAGGCUCUGUUUUCGCUUCUUUUUUUACAGGCGGAGAUUGAGGCCCACGUCAUGCCAGAGAUGCAGUGCUGUUUGCUGUCUGUUUCUUCUCUUGUCAAUGAUGGCUACAAAGUGUGUUUUGAAAAUAAUGUGUGUUCCAUUUCCAGAGGUGGGCAACAACUGGUCAGUGUUGAGUGCAAAAACAGGCUGUUUGUUCUGGAAACGUCUAUUGCAGGUAAAGGUCCCACUGAGCCAGCACAAGCACAGUGUGCUAACAUUCCCAUCCACGAUGGGUGGCACAGGAGACUGUCACACGUUAACUGGGGGUAUGUGAAGAAGAUCCCAAGUUGCACUGAGGGAUGCAAGAUGAAGGCAUGUGCCAAAUACCUGGAUUGCAGGGCCUGCAAGAAAGCUAAGGUUCAAAUGUGCACUUAUCCUAGGUCUGACAGGGUAACCACAAAACCUUUUGAGCUAGUUCAUGCAGACCUUUGCGGCCCUAUGCAAGUUGCCAGUCUGGGUGGGGCAAAAUUUGUGUUAUCUCUGGUGGAUGAUUUCUUCCCAAAAUGGGUGGUUGUUCUCCCUGAAGCACAGGGAGAGGCUGUUGCCUUGGUGAAAGACUGGAUCACUGCAGUUGAACUACAGUUCUCACUGCAGGUCAGGAGAUUUCAAUCAGAUCGUGGUGGGGAGUUCCCCCAGUCUGCGCUGCAGAACUUCUUCCGCCGGAAAGGGAUAUGCUACAGGUUGACAGUCAUGCAUUCUCCUCAGGAGAAUGGGGUGACAGAAUGUCGGAACCGCACGCUGCAGGAGGCAACAGAAGCCAUGCUUUUUGACACAGGGUUGCCUCAGCGCUUUUGGGCAGAAGCAUGGAAGGCUGCAUCUUUCACUUUGAACCGCUCGUACAGUUCUGUAGUAGGGGACACGCCCUAUUUUCUGCUGCAUAGUAAGAAGCCCAAGGUGCAUUUCUUUUGUGUGUUUGGGUGCGAGGCUUUGGUCCUUGUACCAAAGGCCAAGCGUAGAAAGGGUGGCUCCCCAAAGAAUGAUCUUUUGUGGGUAUGAGCCAGGGACCAAGGGGUGGAGGUUUGCCUAUCCCGAAGGUAAUCAGUCUAGGAUUCUAGUUAGCAGGAGUGCUGAGUUCUGUGAGCAAAGUGGAUGGACACAUAUCCAUGGGAAUCCUGACAUCCUCUCAGAAAGUCUGCUUGACUCUGCUGAGGAGGAAGAAGCUGAAACUGAUCCUGCAGCUGAGGAUCAGAUCCCUGACCAAGGGCAAGAACAGGAAAGGGCAUCUCCUAAAGCUGUUAAGCUAGUGCAAAGGAGUGCACCUUCAUCACCCACAGGUCCAGUUGAGAAGUCCAGAAGAUGCAGUAAGAGGGGGAGUCCUCUGUGGGCAAGGACGCUCUAGCUGGCCCUAGUGGGUCAGAGGGGGUACCUGAAGUAGCGCUCAGGCGGUCAGCUUGCACUACAAAGGGAAAACCACCCGAAAGGUUUGAGGUCACUAGCGUGUGGGUUGGUCUGGCUCAAUGUGAACCAGAGAGCUUUGAGGAAGUUCAGAAAUUGCCUGAGCCAGAAAAUGGCAAGUGGCAAUGAAGAAAGAGCUGAGCUCAAUGGAGUCUCUAGGCAUGUUCUCCAUCAUGACGCUGCCAGCAGGCAAGCAGGCCAUGAGCAGUCGUUGGGUUUACCAUCUUAAACCCACGGCAACUGGAGAACCACAGUACAAGGCUAGACUAGUAGCCAGAGGUUUCCACAAGUCCAUUUAUGGUCUGAAACAAUCGGCCGGGAACUGGAACUUGAGUCUGAACGAAGCCUUGCAGAGCAUGGGUUUCAAGAGGAGUCUUGCUGAUCGCUGCCUGUACCUGAAGGGGUCAGGAGAGUCACAGGAGCUAGUUUCGGUGUUUGUGGGUGAUAUAAUCUACGUAGCCAGGACCAAGAAGCAGGUUCAAGGUUUUGCCAAAGAGCUUGGAAAACAUUUUCGACUCAAAAACCUAGUCCAGUGAAAAUUUACCUAGGUGUCCAGUUUGAUACAAACCAGGAUGGAAGCUUCUUGCUCAGUCAGAAAGGCAAGAUUGAGCAGUUGCUUGAGAAGUUCAGAAUGUCUGAAUGUGCAGGGGUCAGAACACCCAUGGAGAUGAGCUACAUGAAAGACAGUCAGCUUGGGGAAUGUGCUGAGUUCGAAAACGCUGAGAUCUUUCAGUCAGCUCUGGGUAGUCUGUUGUAUCUCUCCCAGUGGAGCAGACCUGACAUAGCAUUUGCUACCAAUCUGCUCAGCAGGGAGGCUACAAAGCCAAAUGUGAGUGCCUGGAAUGGUAUCAAGAGGGUUACCUGCGUUACCUGCAGGAUACCAAAGAUUUCUGUCUCGAACUGUCAGCUGAGGGUGAAGCACAGCUCACCUGCUGGACUGACAGUGAUUGGGCGAAUCUGGAAGACAGGAAGUCCGUGUCUGGGAUGGUAAUAAAGUUUGGGGAAUCUCUAGUUGGGUGGAAGUCCUGAAAGCAAAGUCUCAUUGUGCUUUCCUCUACAGAAGCUGAGUUCAGUGCCUUGUCAGAGCUUUGUAGGGAACUAGAGUUUUACACUUGUUUGGUCCAAGAAAUCUGUGGGGAGUGUUGUUAGCCCACCACUGUUUGGGAAGACAAUCAACCCUGUCUGAAGUUGGCAGAGUCUGGACAGUUCAAGUCCAGAACCAAACAUUUGGACAUACGUUUCCAAAAUGUGUGUCAGAGUGUCCAGACAGGCUUGGUGAAUCUGAAGUACUGUCCAAGCCAGCAGAAUGUGGCAGAUGGGUUUACUAAACCUUUGAGCUUCCAGAGACAGAGUGAGUUCUGUGCAGGGUUGCUUUUGGGGUAAGUGGUAUGCUUACAUGCCCCCAGCUGUGCAGGACGAGAGGGGGUGUGAGGAGCUUACAGGGUUAAACAGCUCAGAGUCUGCGUCCUGCCCACUGGGGUGUGUGUGG
RNAcentral lists this long non-coding RNA (6026 nucleotides) under Podarcis lilfordi (Lilford's wall lizard). Lineage: Eukaryota; Metazoa; Chordata; Lepidosauria; Squamata; Lacertidae. The record is from RNAcentral.